Molecule: ribosomal RNA, 301 nt
Filed under: uncultured bacterium
Lineage: Bacteria
Description: partial 16S ribosomal RNA
Rfam family: Bacterial small subunit ribosomal RNA
Source: RNAcentral
CAGCAGCCGCGGUAAUACGAAGGGUGCAAGCGUUAAUCGGAAUUACUGGGCGUAAAGGGUGCGUAGGCGGGAUCUUAAGUCAGGGGUGAAAUCCCGAGGCUCAACCUCGGAACUGCCUUUGAUACUGGGGUCCUUGAGUCCGGAAGAGGUGAGUGGAACUGCGAGUGUAGAGGUGAAAUUCGUAGAUAUUCGCAAGAACACCGGUGGCGAAGGCGGCUCACUGGUCCGGAACUGACGCUGAGGCACGACAGCGUGGGGAGCAAACAGGAUUAGAACCCGCGUAGUCCCUGUCUCUUAUACA